This 253-nucleotide ribosomal RNA is filed under the name uncultured bacterium. RNAcentral's name for it is "partial 16S ribosomal RNA". It matches the Rfam family "Bacterial small subunit ribosomal RNA", at positions 524 to 776 of the family's 1533-position model. The record is from RNAcentral.
UACGAAGGGGGCGAGCGUUGUUCGGAAUUACUGGGCGUAAAGGGCGCGUAGGCGGGUGUUUAAGUCAGAGGUUAAAUCCCAGGGCUCAACCCUGGAACUGCCUUUGAUACUGGGCACCUAGAGUUCGGGAGAGGUGUGUGGAACUCCGAGUGUAGAGGUGAAAUUCGUAGAUAUUCGGAAGAACACCAGUGGCGAAGGCGACACACUGGCCCGAUACUGACGCUGAGGCGCGAAAGCGUGGGGAGCAAACAGG